UAGGGAAUCUUCCGCAAUGGACGAAAGUCUGACGGAGCAACGCCGCGUGAGUGAUGAAGGUUUUCGGAUCGUAAAACUCUGUUGUUAGGGAAGAAUAAGUACUAGAGUAACUGCUAGUACCUUGACGGUACCUAACCAGAAAGCCACGGCUAACUACGUGCCAGCAGCCGCGGUAAUACGUAGGUGGCAAGCGUUGUCCGGAAUUAUUGGGCGUAAAGCGCGCGCAGGCGGUCCUUUAAGUCUGAUGUGAAAGCCCACGGCUCAACCGUGGAGGGUCAUUGGAAACUGGGGGACUUGAGUACAGAAGAGAAGAGUGGAAUUCCACGUGUAGCGGUGAAAUGCGUAGAGAUGUGGAGGAACACCAGUGGCGAAGGCGACUCUUUGGUCUGUAACUGACGCUGAGGCGCGAAAGCGUGGGGAGCAAACAGG
This 429-nucleotide ribosomal RNA is filed under the name Actinomycetes bacterium. Its description in RNAcentral is "Actinobacteria bacterium partial 16S ribosomal RNA". It matches the Rfam family "Bacterial small subunit ribosomal RNA", at positions 355 to 776 of the family's 1533-position model. Lineage: Bacteria; Bacillati; Actinomycetota; Actinomycetes. The record is from RNAcentral.